Molecule: small nucleolar RNA, 107 nt
Filed under: Olea europaea subsp. europaea
Lineage: Eukaryota; Viridiplantae; Streptophyta; Magnoliopsida; Lamiales; Oleaceae
Description: Plant small nucleolar RNA R71
Rfam family: Plant small nucleolar RNA R71
About the family: R71 is a member of the C/D box family of snoRNAs containing the C (UGAUGA) and D (CUGA) box motifs. Multiple nearly identical copies of this snoRNA have been identified in Arabidopsis, and it is thought to function as a 2'-O-ribose methylation guide for 18S ribosomal RNA.
Source: Rfam by way of RNAcentral
AAUCCUUGUUGUGGGCAUUGACAGAGUAAACCUUUGUAUCAUUUUCAAGCCUCUUAAUAGCAUCCUGAAUCCUAUUGUUGGAAAGUAGUAAUCUCAUCCCUUAGCUU